GGUUGGACCUCUUGUUGACAACAUUAUUUCUGUUUGAGUAAAAUCUGCUCGUAAUUUAGAGGCAAAAAAAAAAAAUUCUUAUUUCAGCAAGUACUUCAUCAUAAACCAUGUACGAAUUGACCAUUUCCCUUCUCGCUUUUAUAUUGUAGCCGUUCCCACCAAGUUGAAGCACUACCUUUCAACUGACAAGCUACCAAUUGGAUUCGUUUUUCAGGUGCUAUGUUGAUAUAGUUGAAGAAUCUUUCCACUUUCCUGAUCCAAUCUAAGAAUUCUUCUAUGACGAGAUUCCCAUAAAAAUUAGGAAAAUCAAUUUUCAAUUGAUAAUAUGUGACUCUUUUCCUAUCACCAUCAUAGUUUUGAUGUCUAUUGAACUGGAUUGGUUCAUAGUCAUCCUCCUCCAAAUCUUCAUUGUUGACAUAUUACCUGCAUGCAGAAAGAGGUCUGUUGAUAGGGUCACCAAAAGCUAACUUUACCCUUGCCUUCUAUCAUCAUCCUAUCCUUGUUUGUACUACUUCUCAAAGCAUCAAGACGAUCUAUAAUUUCUUUGAAGGAUCUCUCGAUACACUUGAAUAUGAGAUCCAUCUGUUCCUCUAGACGUCGCUCCCAUCGUUGCAACAUGUUGUCCCUAUAGUCAAGGAUUUUAGUUCCCUGAUUACCAUUGGAGAACCACUAUUGUCACUAUCUCCAUCAAGGUUAGCGAUUGGGGUGAUUUUGCCUGCUCUGAUACCACCUAACGCAGUGUGAAACUCAAAGAAAACGCAAUCACACAGUGAAAAUUGAGAGAAAAUUCUUUGCAGGAUUUUUAUUGCUGAAAAUCUCUAACUGAAAUACAUGUAAAUAAGGGAUAUUUAUAGAGUUUUUAGAACCCUAAACCUAAUAGGAAUAAUUAGAAAGUUUUGCUAAACCUAAAUUCAAGAGGAAGAUAUAAAUAAAAUAGGAAUUAACCUUAUCCUAGAUAGAAUGUGAAAACAUAAAUAAAUACUCCUACUGAUAAUAGGAAGAACUUUAAACUAAUUCCACAGCUGUCCCUUGAUAAAAUAGGAAGUCCAAAGUGAAUUAGGGCUGAUGGUGAUAAAUUUGGACCAAAAUGGACUCCUUCAUGUUGCUGGACAGUGGCUCACAUACCCUGAGCAUGUGAAUGGGCCCUGGUACAUGCUGAGGGAAUGUACUUCGCUGGUUUGAAGAAACAUGCCCUGCAUAACAUUUAUGUUGUUGCAGACUUUUGUUUUUAUUUUGAUGACUCAAUACUAUGUUGAGUUCACAGCAGAAGGAAGCUUGAGGAGAGUUAUUUUGUUAUUACUAUGCAAAUCUAAUUAAAUCAUCUAUAGGUGGCUAUAUUUCUCAUCCAGAG
Molecule: unclassified non-coding RNA, 1351 nt
Filed under: Hevea brasiliensis (rubber tree)
Lineage: Eukaryota; Viridiplantae; Streptophyta; Magnoliopsida; Malpighiales; Euphorbiaceae
Source: RNAcentral